RNAcentral lists this long non-coding RNA (1043 nucleotides) under Homo sapiens (human). RNAcentral describes it as "novel transcript". Lineage: Eukaryota; Metazoa; Chordata; Mammalia; Primates; Hominidae. The record is from RNAcentral.
GGAGUUGCCGGAGGGUGCGGCCGCCCAGAGCGCACCCCGAGCGCCGGCGAGCGGCGCGGUGAGACCCUCGUGCAGUAGAGACGGAGUUUCACCAUGUUGGCCAGGAUGGUCUUCAACUUCUAACUUCGUGAUCCACGCUGCUGGGAUUACAGGUGUGAGCCACCGCGUGUGGCCUCUGGGCACCUUUUGAAGGCUGGAGUGCAGUGGCGAGAUCUCGGCUCACCGCAACCUCCGCCUCCCGGGUUCAAGCGAUUCUCCUGCCUCAGCCUCCCGUGUAGCUGGGAUUACAGGUGGUUUCACCCCAACAUCAGCAGGGUGGAGGCGGAGAAGCUGUUCCUAUCCAGAGGUCAGCGUGGGGACUUCCUUGCCAGGCCCAGUGAGAGCAGCCCGGGGGGCUUCACGCUGUCCGUCAGGUAGCUGAAGCAGAGAGAGAAGGCGGCAGGCAUCAGCGUUUUCUUCUAUGAACUUAUAAGAUCAAAGACUUUAAGACUUUCACUAUUUCUUCUACCGCUAUCUACUACGAACUUCAAAGAGGAACCAGGAGUACGGAAGGAGCAUGAAAGUGGACAAGGAACGUGACCAUUGAAGCACCACAGGGAGGGGUUCAGGCCUCCGGAUGACUGCAGGCAGGCCUGGGUAACAUCCAGCCUCCCACAAGAAGCUGGUGGAGCAGAGCGUUCCCUGACUCCUCCAAGGAAAGGAGACUCCCUUUCCCGGUCUGCUCAGUAACGGGUGCCUUCCCAGACACUGGCGUUACCGCUUGACCAAGGGGCCCUCAAGCGGCCCUUAUGCGGGCAUGACAGAAGGCUCCCCUCUUGCCUUCUAUUCACUUCUCACAAUGUCCCUUCAGCACCUGACCCUAUACCUGCCGGUUAUUCCUAGGUUAUAUUAUUAAUGCAACAGAGUAAUAUUAAAAGCUAAUGAUUAAUAAUGUUUAUAAUAAUGAUGGAUAAUUGUUCAUGAUCAUCGCUGUAUCUAAUUUGUAUUAUGACUAUUCUUAUUCUAUUUUCUUUAUUAUACUGAAACAGUUUGUGCCUUCAGUC